AGUGAACGCUGGCGGUAGGCCUAACACAUGCAAGUCGAACGGCAGCACAGAGGAGCUUGCUCCUUGGGUGGCGAGCGGCGGACGGGUGAGGAAUACAUCGGAAUCUACUCUGUCGUGGGGGAUAACGUAGGGAAACUUACGCUAAUACCGCAUACGACCUACGGGUGAAAGCAGGGGAUCUUCGGACCUUGCGCGAUUGAAUGAGCCGAUGUCGGAUUAGCUAGUUGGCGGGGUAAAGGCCCACCAAGGCGACGAUCCGUAGCUGGUCUGAGAGGAUGAUCAGCCACACUGGAACUGAGACACGGUCCAGACUCCUACGGGAGGCAGCAGUGGGGAUAUUGGACAAUGGGCGCAAGCCUGAUCCAGCCAUACCGCGUGGGUGAAGAAGGCCUUCGGGUUGUAAAGCCCUUUUGUUGGGAAAGAAAUCCAUCUGGUUAAUACCCGGGUGGGAUGACGGUACCCAAAGAAUAAGCACCGGCUAACUUCGUGCCAGCCGCCGCAGUAA
RNAcentral lists this ribosomal RNA (505 nucleotides) under uncultured bacterium. RNAcentral describes it as "partial 16S ribosomal RNA". It matches the Rfam family "Bacterial small subunit ribosomal RNA", at positions 29 to 523 of the family's 1533-position model. The record is from RNAcentral.